Molecule: ribosomal RNA, 253 nt
Filed under: uncultured bacterium
Lineage: Bacteria
Description: partial 16S ribosomal RNA
Rfam family: Bacterial small subunit ribosomal RNA
Source: RNAcentral
UACGUAGGUGGCAAGCGUUAUCCGGAAUUACUGGGCGUAAAGCGCACGCAGGCGGUCUUUUAAGUUUGACGUGAAAGCUCCCGGCUUAACUGGGAGAGGUCGUUGAAGACUGGAAGACUUGAGGCAAUGAGAGGGGUGUAGAAUUCCCGGUGUAGUGGUGGAAUGCGUAGAUAUCGGGGGGAAUACCAGUGGCGAAAGCGGCACCCUAGCGUUAGCCUGACGCUCAUGUGCGAAAGCGUGGGGAGCAAACAGG